This is a long non-coding RNA of Aquila chrysaetos chrysaetos, 678 nucleotides long. RefSeq lists it as uncharacterized. Lineage: Eukaryota; Metazoa; Chordata; Aves; Accipitriformes; Accipitridae. The record is from RefSeq and is a predicted model, not a curated record. The transcript has 2 exons.
AUGCGCCGCAGCACACCGCUGGAUCCUGGGUCAGAGUCUCUUACAGAAAAAACUCUGGAGCCGCAGUGGGAAGGACCAUUUCAAGUAUUACUUACCUCCUUCACCGCGAUUAGGAUCAAGGAACAGAGCGCCUGGAUCCAUCACACUAGGGUGAAGAAAGCACCCAAAGGACAAUGGACUUCACAAGAAAAGGGACCUUUAAAGCUCAAAUUUGGGAGACAUUGAUUGUCAUGCUCCUGAGUUGGACCUUGCCCAAGGGGCAGGCUUGGGAUCGAAAUACUUAUUUAAAUAUAACAGAGAGUAUCUCGAAAGUACUAAAUUUAUCAGACUGUUGGGUAUGCAAUCCCCUUCCUCGGGGGAACAUGGAACUCCCCUUUUUAGGAAUCCCGACCACAAAUUGGACAUCUCUUAGUAAGGACGGGCCAGACAGGAAUGGAUCAUGCCCUUAUGGAAAGGGGAAUACCCAGCGGGGACCCAGCUUUGAUCUGGAGGUACCUGACCCUAAAGAGGUCUUAAUUACUGGCUGUUGCUUAAAUAUUACUGAUAAUAUUUGGGGAGACAUGGAUAAUUGUAGCCUUGCGGAAAAUCUGGGAACUUUUGAUAAAGGAAAAUUAGAAUGUCUUGGACUGAACUUAACUAUCAGUUUCUAUUAUAUCCGGAAACCAAAGAGGGGGCCAG